RNAcentral lists this unclassified non-coding RNA (381 nucleotides) under uncultured bacterium. Its description in RNAcentral is "contains 16S-23S intergenic spacer region". The record is from RNAcentral.
UCCAACUUAUCGCUGGCGGUCUCCUGAGAGUGCUUCCCUUACGGGAGUGGCAACACAGGACAAGGGUUGCGCUCGUUGCGGGACUUAACCCAACAUCUCACGACACGAGCUGACGACAGCCAUGCAGCACCUCGACUCAAGUCCCUUGCGGGAAGUUCCUGUUUCCAAGAAUGUUCUUAAGCCGUUCGAGCCCAGGUAAGGUUCUUCGCGUUGCGUCGAAUUGAACCACAUGCUCCGCUGCUUGUGCGGGCCCCUGUCAAUUCCUUUGAGUUUUAGCCUUGCGGCCGUACUCCCCAGGCGGGGUGCUUAAUGCGUUAGCUUCGGCACGGAGGGAGUCGACACCCCCCACACCUAGCACCCAUCGUUUACGGCGUGGACUAC